RNAcentral lists this long non-coding RNA (322 nucleotides) under Medicago truncatula (barrel medic). RNAcentral describes it as "long non-coding RNA (MTRU_LNC003722)". The record is from RNAcentral. Lineage: Eukaryota; Viridiplantae; Streptophyta; Magnoliopsida; Fabales; Fabaceae.
CUUAAAUAUGUAAAACGUUCCUGUAAUUUCGCGUGUUUUUGCAAAUCGUCCUUGUAUCUUUUUUUGUUUCAAAAUCAUCCUUGUAAGUUACUAGCCGUUUGCAAUUCGUCCCUCCCGUUAACUCCCGUUACAAAAACGUUGUGGUGGCAGACGGAGACACACGCGGCGAAGUGUGAGUUGGCAAAAGCUUGCUUAUGUGUCAAGAGAGAUGAUGAGUGGUUAGAAAGGAGGGACCAAAACCAAAAACGCAAAAUUGCAGAGGGAUGAAAUUAAAAAAACAUACAUUUUGUUCAUUCCUCUCCCUCUAUUUUUUCUUCUUCAU